UCUGAAGUCAGAGGGCGGCUCUCACUACUUUUGUCCUGUCAUCCUGGAUCUCUAGGGAGGCAGGCUUUUCCUUCCUAAAUUUCUUCUGUCCUAGCUUGUCCUUAUCUGACCCCAAAGUGCUUCCGGCCACACCUUCUAGGCUUGGACCUCAGGCCAAGUCUCCUGCCUAGGCAGAGGUGAGACUGGAGAGCUUGGGAGCUGCAGCCGUGGGACACUUUGGUUACCGCCCACCCAGUCUUUCUCCGAGUGGCUGUGCCAAACAGGCUGGGCAGCGGCUACUGCCCCCAGAGGAACAGCUGGUAGCCUCAGGGAAGAGGGCCCCAGGGAGGCAGAGCAUCAUCUCAGCCACCAAGGAUUAUAACCUCAUAUACCACCACACCUGGCGUUUUUUUCUAAGUGUUCUGGCCUCGAGCUUACAAGGUAAGAACUUAACUGACAGAAUGGUCUCCUCAGGCUCUCCUCCUUACCAGGCCUGCCCUAUUCAGCCAGGACCUCUUCUGCUUCUUCCCUUCUCAUGGCGGGCUCUCUGCUCACACAGACAUCCUCAGGGACCCAUUUAACUCUAAGGUUUAACUUGUACACAGAUCAAACCUCCCACAUCUGUGGGAGUCUAGCAAGGGCCACAGUUGCAAAAGACACAGUGCCUGACCCCUUUGCUGCCUGGCUCAAUCAAGGCAACACAAAUUCCUUGCAGGAUGUACUCAGUAGCCAUUAACUGGAAUGUUGUAGUGUCCAAUGUACAGCCCAUGGUAGGGGCUGGUCUUGUUUGGAAGUUCUGCAUCUCUAGUGGGGCUAAGCAAUGUCCAUUUGAGUAUAAGAUGAACAAAUGAUCCUAAGUCCAUAGGCAGAUCCAUGCAUGUCCACAAUCAUGCAACAGUCAUACAAUGUCCCCGUGUGAGCGUGUGUGGUGUGUGAGCAUGCUGAGUGGGCAGGUGAAUGCAUACAGAGGCCAGAGGAAGACAUUGUGUGUCCUCCUGGAUUCUAUAUUCCUUUGAUACAGGAUCCCAGAGCUAGACACGCAGCCUGUGAAACCCAUUGGUCCUCCUACCUCUGCCCUCAACAGCUGGGGUUUCAGGCAUAUAGGACCAACCAAAUCCAACUUUUUUAUGCAGUGGGGAUUUGAACCUCAGUCCUCAUGCUUUUGCCAUGAACCAUCUUCCCAGCCCCUGCCUUUGACUUUUCAUUCUCUUUGGUUCCCUUGCUUAAUUAAACUACUUGGCAAGCAAUUUCUGCUCGGCUUUGCAUGCCUAUUUCUGUGUUGGCAACUGUGGAAACAUUUCUCCUGAUAUUGGCAGAGAACUGCAG
This 1305-nucleotide long non-coding RNA is filed under the name Cricetulus griseus (Chinese hamster). RNAcentral describes it as "lncRNA (ENSCGRG00015033476.1)". The record is from RNAcentral. Lineage: Eukaryota; Metazoa; Chordata; Mammalia; Rodentia; Cricetidae.